This 212-nucleotide ribosomal RNA is filed under the name Clostridioides difficile. Its description in RNAcentral is "partial 16S ribosomal RNA". It matches the Rfam family "Bacterial small subunit ribosomal RNA", at positions 1315 to 1526 of the family's 1533-position model. The record is from RNAcentral. Lineage: Bacteria; Bacillati; Bacillota; Clostridia; Peptostreptococcales; Peptostreptococcaceae.
CCUACAUGAAGCUGGAGUUACUAGUAAUCGCAGAUCAGAAUGCUGCGGUGAAUGCGUUCCCGGGUCUUGUACACACCGCCCGUCACACCACGGGAGUUGGAGACGCCCGAAGCCGAUUAUCUAACCUGUUGGAAGAAGUCGUCGAAGGUGGAAUCAAUAACUGGGGUGAAGUCGUAACAAGGUAGCCGUAUCGGAAGGUGCGGCUGGAGCAC